Molecule: ribosomal RNA, 427 nt
Filed under: uncultured bacterium
Lineage: Bacteria
Description: bacterial SSU rRNA
Rfam family: Bacterial small subunit ribosomal RNA
Source: RNAcentral
UGGGGAAUUUUGGACAAUGGGCGCAAGCCUGAUCCAGCAAUGCCGCGUGCAGGAUGAAGGCCUUCGGGUUGUAAACUGCUUUUGUACGGAACGAAACGGCUCUGGUUAAUACCUGGGGCUAAUGACGGUACCGUAAGAAUAAGCACCGGCUAACUACGUGCCAGCAGCCGCGGUAAUACGUAGGGUGCAAGCGUUAAUCGGAAUUACUGGGCGUAAAGCGUGCGCAGGCGGUUAUGUAAGACAGAUGUGAAAUCCCCGGGCUCAACCUGGGACCUGCAUUUGUGACUGCAUAGCUAGAGUACAGCAGAGGGGGAUGGAAUUCCGCGUGUAGCAGUGAAAUGCGUAGAUAUGCGGAGGAACACCGAUGGCGAAGGCAAUCCCCUGGGCCUGUACUGUCGCUCAUGCACGAAAGCGUGGGGAGCAAACA